Cavia porcellus (domestic guinea pig) is the source of this 613-nucleotide long non-coding RNA. RefSeq lists it as uncharacterized. NCBI's taxonomy places the organism in Eukaryota, Metazoa, Chordata, Mammalia, Rodentia, Caviidae. The record is from RefSeq and is a predicted model, not a curated record. The transcript has 3 exons.
GAGUCAGCAAGGCGAAGGCAGGAGGAAGCCCACGGGCACCAGCCCUGGACUGUAUGGUGCGAACCACAGGGCAACUGGCAUCAAGACGCAGGUUGCAUUGUGAGGCUGCCCUGCAUCGUGACCCAGUUCUCCCUACUGAGGACACUCACAGACCUGGGGAGGCCUGCCCAGUGACCUUGCUGAGCACGAUACCAGCUGGGACCACCAGGAGGAAUCAGACUCACAACCAUGCGCAAGUUUGAGGCCAGCCUGGUGUAUACAGCAAGUUCAAGGACAGCCUGCACUGUGCGGUGAGCCCUGUCUCCAAGGGAAAAAACCAGAAGAAAGUCUGUCUUCCACACACUCUGCCUCAGGAAGCUCCUGCAGGAUGUGAGUGCCAGGAAGAUGCAAACGCAGGGAAAUGGAAAUCCAGGGACCAGAGGGAAACGGUUCUCAGGGAAGUCUUUGGACAAUAGCCAUGCAGCAGUCAGACUGGGGCAAAUACUAACUCCUGGGAGAACAAAUAAUCGCAGAGAAAAGAAAAUGUAGAGCCAGGAGUUUAGCUCAGUGGCACAAACACCUGCCUGGCAAGUGUGAGGUUGUGAGUUUGAUCCCUGGUACCAAAAGAAGAGAA